This 443-nucleotide ribosomal RNA is filed under the name uncultured Leptotrichia sp. RNAcentral describes it as "bacterial SSU rRNA". It matches the Rfam family "Bacterial small subunit ribosomal RNA", at positions 338 to 795 of the family's 1533-position model. The record is from RNAcentral. Lineage: Bacteria; Fusobacteriati; Fusobacteriota; Fusobacteriia; Fusobacteriales; Leptotrichiaceae.
CCUACCGGCGGCUGCAGUGGGGAAUAUUGGACAAUGGGGGCAACCCUGAUCCAGCAAUUCUGUGUGCACGAAGAAGGUUUUCGGAUUGUAAAGUGCUUUCAGCAGGGAAGAAGGAAGUGACGGUACCUGCAGAAGAAGCGACGGCUAAAUACGUGCCAGCAGCCGCGGUAAUACGUAUGUCGCGAGCGUUAUCCGGAAUUAUUGGGCAUAAAGGGCAUCUAGGCGGCCUAACAAGUCAGGGGUGAAAACCUGCGGCUCAACCGCAGGCCUGCCUUUGAAACUGUAAGGCUGGAGUACCGGAGAGGUGGACGGAACUGCACGAGUAGAGGUGAAAUUCGUAGAUAUGUGCAGGAAUGCCGAUGAUGAAGAUAGUCCACUGGACGGAAACUGACGCUGAAGUGCGAAAGCCGGGGGAGCGAACGGGAUUAGAUAACCGGGUAGUC